GGAGUCUGGACCGUGUCUCAGUUCCAAUGUGGGGGACCUUCCUCUCAGAACCCCUACCCAUCGUCGGUUUGGUGGGCCGUUACCCCGCCAACUGCCUAAUGGGACGCGAGCCAAUCCGAUACCGAUAAAUCUAUUAAACAAAGAUCAUGCGGUCUCUGUUGUUACGGAGUAUUACGCGACGUUUCCAUCGACUAUCCUCCAGUAUCGGGCAUGUUGCUCACGCGUUACUCACCCUUUCGCCGGUCGCCGGCAUUGUAUUGCUACAACCCGCUGCCCCUCGACUUGCAUGUGUUAAGCCUGCCGCUAGCGUUCAUC
Molecule: ribosomal RNA, 315 nt
Filed under: uncultured Bacteroidales bacterium
Lineage: Bacteria; Pseudomonadati; Bacteroidota; Bacteroidia; Bacteroidales
Description: partial 16S ribosomal RNA
Source: RNAcentral